RNAcentral lists this non-coding RNA (164 nucleotides) under uncultured Selenomonas sp. RNAcentral describes it as "6S / SsrS RNA". It matches the Rfam family "6S / SsrS RNA". From Rfam's summary of the family: E. coli 6S RNA was the first non coding RNA to be sequenced, but its function was unknown until recently. The record is from RNAcentral. Lineage: Bacteria; Bacillati; Bacillota; Negativicutes; Selenomonadales; Selenomonadaceae.
AGCCUGAGAUGUGCGCGGGCUUUAAUAAUGUCUAACCUACAUUUUUUCUAGGGAGCUCGAUUUGAUUCUAGCAGCUGUUCGCAAUAGCGAAAACAAAAACUAGACUUAGGGCACCCACCUGCGAUUAGCAGGUUUUAGGCAUAUAAAGCGAACGGCAUUUUGGA